Molecule: ribosomal RNA, 471 nt
Filed under: Yersinia mollaretii
Lineage: Bacteria; Pseudomonadati; Pseudomonadota; Gammaproteobacteria; Enterobacterales; Yersiniaceae
Description: bacterial SSU rRNA
Rfam family: Bacterial small subunit ribosomal RNA
Source: RNAcentral
AUUGAACGCUGGCGGCAGGCCUAACACAUGCAAGUCGAGCGGCAGCGGAAAGUAGCUUGCUACUUUGCCGGCGAGCGGCGGACGGGUGAGUAAUGUCUGGGAAACUGCCUGAUGGAGGGGGAUAACUACUGGAAACGGUAGCUAAUACCGCAUGACCUCGCAAGAGCAAAGUGGGGGACCUUCGGGCCUCACGCCAUCGGAUGUGCCCAGAUGGGAUUAGCUAGUAGGUGGGGUAAUGGCUCACCUAGGCGACGAUCCCUAGCUGGUCUGAGAGGAUGACCAGCCACACUGGAACUGAGACACGGUCCAGACUCCUACGGGAGGCAGCAGUGGGGAAUAUUGCACAAUGGGCGCAAGCCUGAUGCAGCCAUGCCGCGUGUGUGAAGAAGGCCUUCGGGUUGUAAAGCACUUUCAGCGAGGAGGAAGGCAGUCGUGUUAAUAGCACGAUUGAUUGACGUUACUCGCAGAAGA